AACGAACGCUGGCGGCACGCCUAACACAUGCAAGUCGAACGAAGGCUUCGGCCUUAGUGGCGCACGGGUGCGUAACGCGUGGGAAUCUGCCCUUUGGUUCGGAAUAACAGCUGGAAACGGCUGCUAAUACCGGAUGAUGACGAAAGUCCAAAGAUUUAUCGCCAGAGGAUGAGCCCGCGUUGGAUUAGGUAGUUGGUGGGGUAAAGGCCUACCAAGCCGACGAUCCAUAGCUGGUCUGAGAGGAUGAUCAGCCACACUGGGACUGAGACACGGCCCAGACUCCUACGGGAGGCAGCAGUGGGGAAUAUUGGACAAUGGGCGCAAGCCUGAUCCAGCAAUGCCGCGUGAGUGAUGAAGGCCCUAGGGUUGUAAAGCUCUUUUACCCGGGAAGAUAAUGACUGUACCGGGAGAAUAAGCCCCGGCUAACUCCGUG
This 433-nucleotide ribosomal RNA is filed under the name uncultured bacterium. RNAcentral's name for it is "partial 16S ribosomal RNA". It matches the Rfam family "Bacterial small subunit ribosomal RNA", at positions 29 to 507 of the family's 1533-position model. The record is from RNAcentral.